AGGAGGAUAGUUUAAUGGUAAAGCAGUGGUUUCCAAAACCAAAUUUGGGGGUUCGAGUCCCUCUCUUUCUG
RNAcentral lists this transfer RNA (71 nucleotides) under Flavobacteriales bacterium. RNAcentral's name for it is "tRNA-Trp". It matches the Rfam family "tRNA". From Rfam's summary of the family: Transfer RNA (tRNA) molecules are approximately 80 nucleotides in length. The record is from RNAcentral. Lineage: Bacteria; Pseudomonadati; Bacteroidota; Flavobacteriia; Flavobacteriales.